UACGGCGGGUGCGAGCGUUAAUCGGAAUCACUGGGCGUGAAGCGCACGUAGGCGGCUGUGUAAGUCAGAUGUGAAAUCCCCGGACUUAACCUGGGAACUGCAUUUGAUACUGCGCAGCUCGAGUCUGAUAGAGGGGGGUGGAAUUCCAGGUGCAGCGGUGAAAUGCGUAGAUAUCUGGAGGAACGCCAGUGGCGAAGGCGGCCCCCUGGAUCAAGACUGACGCUGAGGUGCGAAAGCGUGGGGGGCAAACAGG
Molecule: ribosomal RNA, 253 nt
Filed under: uncultured bacterium
Lineage: Bacteria
Description: partial 16S ribosomal RNA
Rfam family: Bacterial small subunit ribosomal RNA
Source: RNAcentral